Molecule: ribosomal RNA, 1504 nt
Filed under: Helicobacter pylori
Lineage: Bacteria; Pseudomonadati; Campylobacterota; Epsilonproteobacteria; Campylobacterales; Helicobacteraceae
Also listed under: 1 other name
Description: bacterial SSU rRNA
Rfam family: Bacterial small subunit ribosomal RNA
Source: RNAcentral
UUUAUGGAGAGUUUGAUCCUGGCUCAGAGUGAACGCUGGCGGCGUGCCUAAUACAUGCAAGUCGAACGAUGAAGCUUCUAGCUUGCUAGAAUGCUGAUUAGUGGCGCACGGGUGAGUAACGCAUAGGUCAUGUGCCUCUUAGUUUGGGAUAGCCAUUGGAAACGAUGAUUAAUACCAGAUACUCCCUACGGGGGAAAGAUUUAUCGCUAAGAGAUCAGCCUAUGUCCUAUCAGCUUGUUGGUAAGGUAAUGGCUUACCAAGGCUAUGACGGGUAUCCGGCCUGAGAGGGUGAACGGACACACUGGAACUGAGACACGGUCCAGACUCCUACGGGAGGCAGCAGUAGGGAAUAUUGCUCAAUGGGGGAAACCCUGAAGCAGCAACGCCGCGUGGAGGAUGAAGGUUUUAGGAUUGUAAACUCCUUUUGUUAGAGAAGAUAAUGACGGUAUCUAACGAAUAAGCACCGGCUAACUCCGUGCCAGCAGCCGCGGUAAUACGGAGGGUGCAAGCGUUACUCGGAAUCACUGGGCGUAAAGAGCGCGUAGGCGGGAUAGUCAGUCAGGUGUGAAAUCCUAUGGCUUAACCAUAGAACUGCAUUUGAAACUACUAUUCUAGAGUGUGGGAGAGGUAGGUGGAAUUCUUGGUGUAGGGGUAAAAUCCGUAGAGAUCAAGAGGAAUACUCAUUGCGAAGGCGACCUGCUGGAACAUUACUGACGCUGAUUGCGCGAAAGCGUGGGGAGCAAACAGGAUUAGAUACCCUGGUAGUCCACGCCCUAAACGAUGGAUGCUAGUUGUUGGAGGGCUUAGUCUCUCCAGUAAUGCAGCUAACGCAUUAAGCAUCCCGCCUGGGGAGUACGGUCGCAAGAUUAAAACUCAAAGGAAUAGACGGGGACCCGCACAAGCGGUGGAGCAUGUGGUUUAAUUCGAAGAUACACGAAGAACCUUACCUAGGCUUGACAUUGAGAGAAUCCGCUAGAAAUAGUGGAGUGUCUGGCUUGCCAGACCUUGAAAACAGGUGCUGCACGGCUGUCGUCAGCUCGUGUCGUGAGAUGUUGGGUUAAGUCCCGCAACGAGCGCAACCCCCUUUCUUAGUUGCUAACAGGUCAUGCUGAGAACUCUAAGGAUACUGCCUCCGUAAGGAGGAGGAAGGUGGGGACGACGUCAAGUCAUCAUGGCCCUUACGCCUAGGGCUACACACGUGCUACAAUGGGGUGCACAAAGAGAAGCAAUACUGCGAAGUGGAGCCAAUCUUCAAAACACCUCUCAGUUCGGAUUGUAGGCUGCAACUCGCCUGCAUGAAGCUGGAAUCGCUAGUAAUCGCAAAUCAGCCAUGUUGCGGUGAAUACGUUCCCGGGUCUUGUACUCACCGCCCGUCACACCAUGGGAGUUGUGUUUGCCUUAAGUCAGGAUGCUAAAUUGGCUACUGCCCACGGCACACACAGCGACUGGGGUGAAGUCGUAACAAGGUAACCGUAGGUGAACCUGCGGUUGGAUCACCUCCUUU